This 406-nucleotide ribosomal RNA is filed under the name uncultured bacterium. RNAcentral describes it as "partial 16S ribosomal RNA". It matches the Rfam family "Bacterial small subunit ribosomal RNA", at positions 30 to 526 of the family's 1533-position model. The record is from RNAcentral.
AUUGAACGCUGGCGGCAGGCCUAACACAUGCAAGUCGAGCGGAGCGGCGGACGGGUGAGUAAUGCCUAGGAAUCUGCCUGGUCGUGGGGGAUAACGUCCGGAAACGGGCGCUAAUACCGCAUACUAUCAGAUGAGCCUAGGUCGGAUUAGCUAGUUGGUGGGGUAAAGGCCUACCAAGGCGACGAUCCGUAACUGGUCUGAGAGGAUGCUCAGUCAAACUGGAACGGAGAACCGGUCCAGACUCUUAGGGGAGUCAGCGGUGGGGAAUAUUGGACAAGGGGCGAAAGCCUGAUCAAGCCAGGCCGCGUGUGUGAAGAAGGUCUUCGGAUUGUAAAGCACUUUAAGUUGGGAGGCGUUACCAACAGAAUAAGCACCGGCUAACUUCGUGCCAGCAGCCGCGGUAUAC